This 253-nucleotide ribosomal RNA is filed under the name uncultured bacterium. RNAcentral's name for it is "partial 16S ribosomal RNA". It matches the Rfam family "Bacterial small subunit ribosomal RNA", at positions 524 to 776 of the family's 1533-position model. The record is from RNAcentral.
UACGUAUGGUGCAAGCGUUAUCCGGAUUUACUGGGUGUAAAGGGAGCGUAGACGGAGAAGCAAGUCUGGAGUGAAAACCCGGGGCUCAACCCCGGGACUGCUUUGGAAACUGUUUUUCUUGAGUGCCGGAGAGGUAAGCGGAAUUCCUAGUGUAGCGGUGAAAUGCGUAGAUAUUAGGAGGAACACCAGUGGCGAAGGCGGCUUACUGGACGGUAACUGACGUUGAGGCUCGAAAGCGUGGGGAGCAAACAGG